RNAcentral lists this ribosomal RNA (433 nucleotides) under uncultured bacterium. RNAcentral describes it as "partial 16S ribosomal RNA". It matches the Rfam family "Bacterial small subunit ribosomal RNA", at positions 29 to 507 of the family's 1533-position model. The record is from RNAcentral.
AGCGAACGCUGGCGGCAGGCCUAACACAUGCAAGUCGAACGAACUCUUCGGAGUUAGUGGCGGACGGGUGGGUAACACGUGGGAACGUGCCUUUUGGUUCGGAAUAACUCAGGGAAACUUGUGCUAAUACCGAAUGCGCCCUUCGGGGGAAAGAUUUAUCGCCAUUAGAGCGGCCCGCGUCUGAUUAGCUAGUUGGUGAGGUAACGGCUCACCAAGGCGACGAUCAGUAGCUGGUCUGAGAGGAUGACCAGCCACACUGGGACUGAGACACGGCCCAGACUCCUACGGGAGGCAGCAGUGGGGAAUCUUGCGCAAUGGGCGAAAGCCUGACGCAGCCAUGCCGCGUGAAUGAUGAAGGUCUUAGGAUUGUAAAAUUCUUUCACCGGGGACGAUAAUGACGGUACCCGGAGAAGAAGCCCCGGCUAACUUCGUG